RNAcentral lists this transfer RNA (68 nucleotides) under Agapetus zniachtl. RNAcentral's name for it is "tRNA-His". Lineage: Eukaryota; Metazoa; Arthropoda; Insecta; Trichoptera; Glossosomatidae. The record is from RNAcentral.
AUUUAAAUAGUUUAAUAAAAAAAAAACGUUGAUUUGUGGUGUCAAAAAUAUAUUUAUUAUUUUAAAUU